Molecule: ribosomal RNA, 579 nt
Filed under: Schwanniomyces etchellsii
Lineage: Eukaryota; Fungi; Ascomycota; Pichiomycetes; Serinales; Debaryomycetaceae
Description: LSU rRNA
Rfam family: Eukaryotic large subunit ribosomal RNA
Source: RNAcentral
CAACAGGGAUUGCCUUAGUAACGGCGAGUGAAGCGGCAAAAGCUCAAAUUUGAAAUCUGGCACCUUCGGUGUCCGAGUUGUAAUUUGUAGAAGGUAACUUUGGAAUUGGCUCUUGUCUAUGUUCCUUGGAACAGGACGUCACAGAGGGUGAGAAUCCCGUGCGAUGAGGUGCCCAAUUCUAUGUAAAGUGCUUUCGAAGAGUCGAGUUGUUUGGGAAUGCAGCUCUAAGUGGGUGGUAAAUUCCAUCUAAAGCUAAAUAUUGGCGAGAGACCGAUAGCGAACAAGUACAGUGAUGGAAAGAUGAAAAGAACUUUGAAAAGAGAGUGAAAAAGUACGUGAAAUUGUUGAAAGGGAAGGGCUUGAGAUCAGACUUGGUAUUUUGCGUUCCUUCCCCUCGUGGGUUGGUUCCUCGCAGCUUACCGGGCCAGCAUCGGUUUGGAUGGUAGGAUAAUGACAUUGGAAUGUGACACCGCUUCGGUGGUGUGUUAUAGCCUUUGUUGAUACUGCCUGUCUAGACCGAGGACUGCGUCUUUGACUAGGAUGUUGGCAUAAUGAUCUUAAGUCGCCCGUCUUGAACCC